UUCCUCAAACAAAAUUCAAAAGAAACAUACCUGGAGAAAUUAUAAUGUCAAUGUAUCAGUGAACAAAUCCAGACAUUUUCAAAAUAUACCCAUUUUACCUAGGUCUUUUACUUGCCGUCGAAUUUAAAGUUUUAUUCAAAAUCGUUUUAAAUGGAUAUAAAUCAAAACAAAAAUGCAGUUUAGAAAAAUCAUUAUAAUCCCACAUCUCAGGCCCCCUGAGUGCUUCUACUGAUUAGUGAUACUUAAUCAAUAACAGAUGUUCAAAACAUUUAUUAAAACCUUUUACUCCAUUAAAUUAAUGCUCUGAAAAUGGCCAGCACAAUAAUAUUUUAAUUCCUAUAAUUAUUUCCCAAGUUAAUUAACCAAGUAUGCUUCACUCUCGCUAUAAAUUUGUCUAUUUUCAAAAUACUUUAGCCCAUUAUCAGAACAUCCUUCAAUGGAGAACAACUCAAAUCCAUUCUAAAUAAGCACAUAUCAGACAUGUUCUUCAAAAGUUUUGUUUAAGUAAUAUAAGUGUUCCAGUAAUCUAAUUAAGUAAAAUAAAAAUAAACCCAUAACAUAUUCUUUGAUGAUGCAUUGCCUACUAAUGCAUCACAAUUUCCAUGACCUGAAAUAAGAAUGUUGAUGAAACAGGGUUAUCAGUUUAGCUGAGAAAUCCCACCGAUAUGCAAUGCUGCCUUUUUCUAAAAGGUAAAUUUUUCAAAACAAACAGAAUAAGUCAGUUUAGCAUGCUUUAAACCUUCAAGAUUACUAUUUUCCGAAAAUACAUCACGUUACAGUUUUAAAGCUCAUUAUGUCAUCGUACUCUUAUAAUUCACAAAUAGCAUGUUUACUAAGUAAGACACUGUGAAGGUCUUGCCUACACCAGCCAGAGAGACGUUGAAGAAAAUUCAAAAUAUAGCUAACAAAGAAAAUCCAAAAAAUGAUAAAUUGGGCCCAUACUGAAAUCAACAUAACAAAAACACAAUACAGGCAGUAACAGAACGACUCAAGCACAAACUGACUUAACAAGACAUGAGGGGAACUUAGAUAAUGGCUGAUCAGACCAUUAACACACUAAGGGAUAAUUAAACACACAAAACCCUAACAAAUACUGGUCAGUAUAUCACUAAAUCUACAAAGGAAAGAAAUUAAACUAAAAACCAAAUUUCCCCCUCCCUGGGAACAGGUCCAGAGGAAACUGGUAACUCAAAAGAAAGAAAUUAAUUUGGUAGAUUUAACAAAAUAUAAAGAACUGACACUUAAAAUUAACUAAAUGGGAGUCAAACUAAUAAAAACAAAUUUUAGAGAAAACGUUUCACUAAAUCUAGGAAACCAAACUGCAUCAAAAUCCUGCCUCAAUGUGAUGGUAAAGACUCCCUAAAAUUUAUGAAAUCCUUAUAUGUUUAGAUUUCACAAGUUAUAUUUUAAAGUCACUACACUAUCCUGAGCAAUCUCUAUUGUCAGACCAUAAAACAAAUUCUUAAGCCUACCAUAAAACCCCCUUUCACCUCUCGGAGGAACCGACUUGUAUGGCAGGAAAGAGAGCCAAUAAGGAUUUCAGGAGGAACUCCCAAUUCUUUUAAUACUUUAGUAGGCUUUGGCACUUAAAGCAUCAGAUAUGUUUUAGUCUCUUCUAAUUGUAAAAUUUGAACUUAAAAA
This is a long non-coding RNA of Xiphophorus couchianus (Monterrey platyfish), 1641 nucleotides long. RefSeq lists it as uncharacterized. The transcript is spliced from 2 exons. Lineage: Eukaryota; Metazoa; Chordata; Actinopteri; Cyprinodontiformes; Poeciliidae. The record is from RefSeq and is a predicted model, not a curated record.